This is a long non-coding RNA of Neopelma chrysocephalum (saffron-crested tyrant-manakin), 227 nucleotides long. RefSeq lists it as uncharacterized. The transcript is spliced from 3 exons. NCBI's taxonomy places the organism in Eukaryota, Metazoa, Chordata, Aves, Passeriformes, Pipridae. The record is from RefSeq and is a predicted model, not a curated record.
UCUAUGUUUCUAUGAUAUGAUGCCAGUAAGGCAUUUUAUAUGAUCUGCUAGAGCAGCUCUUCUGUUGAUGAUUGGAUGUAACAUGAAAAUUGCUCUUCUUCUUGUGUUUUUUCUUCAGCUUUCUAGCAGGAGCCCUAGCUCAAACUGCAUCUCUUGAGAAAGACAUUUUGAAAACACACCAGCUUUAAGAAGGACAAGGACCACAUGUCUACCAGAUAGCCUCCAAG